Molecule: long non-coding RNA, 233 nt
Filed under: Phoenix dactylifera (date palm)
Lineage: Eukaryota; Viridiplantae; Streptophyta; Magnoliopsida; Arecales; Arecaceae
Description: long non-coding RNA (PDAC_LNC021699)
Source: RNAcentral
UUGGUGAGCCAAGUUAAAAACCAACGUGUGUAAGGGUUUGAUUGUGAGCCCGGGAAAACAAUCGGGGUUGGUUCUAGUCGGUGAGCCUGGGAAAACCGACCGAGUUCGUUGUGAGCUCGUAAAACAACAAGUUUGGUUGUGAGCUUGGAAAACAACCGACUGUAAUCCAAGGAGGGUAUAGUGAAUUCCCAAGUGAGACUUGGGGAGUGGACGUAGGAGCAAGGGUUAGCUCC